GCGCGGGUGGCGGAAUAGGUAGACGCGCUAGCUUGAGGUGCUAGUCCACGAAAGUGGGUGGGGGUUCAAGUCCCCCUUCGCGCA
Molecule: transfer RNA, 84 nt
Filed under: Falsarthrobacter nasiphocae
Lineage: Bacteria; Bacillati; Actinomycetota; Actinomycetes; Micrococcales; Micrococcaceae
Description: tRNA-Leu
Rfam family: tRNA
About the family: Transfer RNA (tRNA) molecules are approximately 80 nucleotides in length. Their secondary structure includes four short double-helical elements and three loops (D, anti-codon, and T loops). Further hydrogen bonds mediate the characteristic L-shaped molecular structure. tRNAs have two regions of fundamental functional importance: the anti-codon, which is responsible for specific mRNA codon recognition, and the 3' end, to which the tRNAs corresponding amino acid is attached (by aminoacyl-tRNA synthetases). tRNAs cope with the degeneracy of the genetic code in two manners: having more than one tRNA (with a specific anti-codon) for a particular amino acid; and 'wobble' base-pairing, i.e. permitting non-standard base-pairing at the 3rd anti-codon position.
Source: RNAcentral